UACGUAGGUGGCAAGCGUUGUCCGGAAUUAUUGGGCGUAAAGCGCGCGCAGGUGGUUUCUUAAGUCUGAUGUGAAAGCCCACGGCUCAACCGUGGAGGGUCAUUGGAAACUGGGGAACUUGAGUGCAGGAGGGAAGAGUGGAAUUCCACGUGUAGCGGUGAAAUGCGUAGAGAUGUGGAGGAACACCAGUGGCGAAGGCGACUCUUUGGCCUGUAACUGACACUGAGGCGCGAAAGCGUGGGGAGCAAACAGG
RNAcentral lists this ribosomal RNA (253 nucleotides) under uncultured bacterium. RNAcentral's name for it is "partial 16S ribosomal RNA". It matches the Rfam family "Bacterial small subunit ribosomal RNA", at positions 524 to 776 of the family's 1533-position model. The record is from RNAcentral.